UUUUCCUACGGGAGGCAGCAGUGGGGAAUAUUGCACAAUGGGGAAACCCUGAUGCAGCGACGCCGCGUGAAGGAAGAAGUAUUUCGGUAUGUAAACUUCUAUCAGCAGGGAAGAAAAUGACGGUACCUGACUAAGAAGCCCCGGCUAACUACGUGCCAGCAGCCGCGGUAAUACGUAGGGGGCAAGCGUUAUCCGGAUUUACUGGGUGUAAAGGGGGCGCAGACGGCGAUGCAAGCCAGGAGUGAAAGCCCGGGGCCCAACCCCGGGACUGCUCUUGGAACUGCGUGGCUGGAGUGCAGGAGGGG
This 305-nucleotide ribosomal RNA is filed under the name uncultured bacterium. Its description in RNAcentral is "bacterial SSU rRNA". It matches the Rfam family "Bacterial small subunit ribosomal RNA", at positions 334 to 657 of the family's 1533-position model. The record is from RNAcentral.